This is a long non-coding RNA of Corvus hawaiiensis (hawaiian crow), 2039 nucleotides long. RefSeq lists it as uncharacterized. The transcript is spliced from 3 exons. The record is from RefSeq and is a predicted model, not a curated record. Lineage: Eukaryota; Metazoa; Chordata; Aves; Passeriformes; Corvidae.
AGCGCCGGGGACAGUCGGGGACGUGGCCACGGGUUCCGUGUCCCCCCCAGCUCGGAGCCCCCCGCGGCAGGAUCGGGACCUUUGGGGAGGAAUAUCCAACCCCAAAAUGCCCUCUCCAGCCCCAAAAUUGCCGUUCCAUCCCUAAAAUCCCCAUCCGGCCCCAAAAUCCUCCUCGUUCCAGCCCCAAAAUUCCCGUUCCAUCCCUAAAAUCCCCAUCCGGUCCCAAAAUCCUCCCCGUUCCAGCCUCAAAUCCCCGUUCCUUGGGAUUCCAGGGAUGCGGGGGGAACCCGGCGGAUUUGGGAUGCUCGGCCCUGCCCCGACCCUCCUCGGAUUUCCACCUUUUCCCUGGAUUUUUGCCUUUUUCCUCCUCUCCUUCGUCCUUUGCUGAGCUCCAGCCCAAUCCCAGCUCCAUCCCGAGCCGGCAGGGGGGGAAAAUCCAGGGAAUUCUUUGAAAGCCAAAGGCGCUCCCGGACCGGGAGGUGGCAGCAGGAGACCGCGCUCGGCUGAUCCCAAAUCCCUUCGGGAAAGGAGCGACCGGGAUGGAGCUGCGCCUUAUGGGGUGAGCGGGCCUCCCCCAGCCCCAGAUAAAAUCCUGGAGCCGUGUCCGGGCUGGUUCCGAUGGGAAAAGGCUGCCCCAAAAUGCGACAACGCCGCUUCCUCCCAGACGCCACCAGCGCCCCUGGCAGCUGCCAGGUCCUGGCAGGACCAAAACCACACCCUGGCACACCCAAUCCCGGGAUUCCUCCGUUGCCGGGAUUCCUGUUCCCAGCCCGGAUCCGCCGUGGGAUCCCUGAAAGCUCCGGUGGUUUCGGAAAAGUGAAUUAUUCAGCGGUGACCCCGGCGGAGGCGGCGCAGCAUCAAUUAUUGAGCGGCAGAGCCGUCGAAUUCCCUCCUAAAUAACUCAUCCCGCGCCUUCCCGGGAAAUUACACAUCCGAUCUCCCGCCUAAACGCUCUCCCGGGAAAUCCGCUGGGGCAGGAGUUAGGCCUGGGCGGAGGAGGAGGAGGAGGAGGAGGGGGAGGAAGGAGUUCUGCCAGGAGAUCCCGGGAUUUGGCUUCGCCGGGAGCAUCCCGGUGCUGCCCAUCGGGGUCAGGGAUCCAAAGGGGUUGGGCCCAUCCUGGGUGGUUCCCUUCUUGAGAUCCCUCCAGCCGUGGGAAAAGGGAUCCCAGGGAUCCUUCAAUCCGUGGGAAAAGGGAUCCCAGGGAUCCUUCAAGCCGUGGGGAAAGGGAUUCCAGGGAUCCUUCCAGCCGUGGGGAAAGGGAUUCCAGGGAUCCUUAAAGCCGUGGGGAAAGGGAUCCCAGGGAUCCUUCAAUCCAUGGGGAAAGGGAUUCCAGAGAUCCUUCCAGCCGUGGAGAAAGGGAUCCCAGGGAUCCCAGGGAUCCUUCCAGCCACGGGAACUUCCCCAAAACCUGGGGAAGCAGCUCCCACUCCCAGCCCUGCUGGAUUCAGGGAAUCUCCCCCAAAUCCUCCUGGCGUGGGUGCAACUCCCGGCAAGGCCCAAACCCCGGGAUUGCUCUGGCUCGGGCAUCCCAGGAAUUUUUUUUUCCCGAGUUUUUGGUGUAAUUAAAGCACCCUGGGGGGAGGGGGGAGGGGCUGCGGCCAGCAGGGCGCCAGGAGAUCCCAAACUCCGGGAAGGGAUCCCUAGGGUUGAUCCAUCCCAUCGCGCGGGAAUUGCGAAUUCCAGAGAAUCCCUCGGAUCCCAGGAACGGGGUGGGGCUAAUUAAAGUAAUUCAUUAAUCCCACAGCCCGGUGCCGUGGAAUGGGGAAGCGCCGCGGAUCCGAUGGGGCGGAGCAGCCGAAUUUUGGGAAGGGGCAGGGCUGGGAAACGCAAAUUCCGAACCCAGGGGGUUCAUGGAAGAAGGGGGAAAAACCGGGAUUUUUUCCAGGCUGGAAUUUUUCUCCAGGCGAGGGGAGGCCCCCUGGCCCCCCACCCACCCGCCGGUGAUGUUUGGGUUAAUAAUUAAUUGUUGAUUUGCGGGUUGAUAAUUAAUUGUUCGAUUGUUUUAUUAUUUUAUUGCUUUGUUAUUUUACUGGUUUAUU